This 27-nucleotide non-coding RNA is filed under the name Mus musculus (house mouse). The record is from RNAcentral. Lineage: Eukaryota; Metazoa; Chordata; Mammalia; Rodentia; Muridae.
UNGGUAGCAGAAGUAGGUCUCAUGGUC